Molecule: unclassified non-coding RNA, 828 nt
Filed under: Hevea brasiliensis (rubber tree)
Lineage: Eukaryota; Viridiplantae; Streptophyta; Magnoliopsida; Malpighiales; Euphorbiaceae
Source: RNAcentral
UUUCGCUUUACUCUUUAUAUUAUCAAAAAUCCUUGCUGCUCAUUUUCCCUUCAUCACUUUUCUUCUUCCAUUUCCAAAUCUUCGACCCGAAGAAGAGAAAUUCAUGGCUCGAUUUGUGAUUCUCUUUGCUCUCUUUGUUCUUCCUUCACUCGCCGCCGCAAGCCGCCCCGUCAGAACUCCGUUCAUUGUUCGUGGUAAAGUCUUCUGCGACACUUGCCUUGCCGGCUUUGAAACCUCCGCCACUACCUACAUUCCCGGUGCUAAGGUCAAAAUUGAAUGCAAGGACAGGAACUCAAUGGAACUUCUAUAUUCUCACGAGGCCACAACAGACUCCACUGGUUCUUAUACGCUCUUAAUCAACGAGGACCAUGGGGAUGAACUUUGUGAUGCUGUACUAAUCAGCAGCCCUGAGAAGAGCUGUUCAUCAGUAUCCGAAGGCCGUGACCGUGCCCGUGUGAUCCUCACCCGCUACAAUGGUAUUGCCUCAAACGAACGCUAUGUCAAUGCCAUGGGUUUUGCAAGAGAUGAACCUAUGUCUGGCUGCAACCAAGUCCUGAGUCAGUACCAGGAUAUUGAAGAUUAGAACUGGCUUUAGUCCUACAAUCACUUAGUUGUAUUUCUGGAGGUAUAUUUGCUCUGUUCUGCUUAUGCUAAUGUGCCCCCAUAUCUACGCUUUAUCUGGCUGGACACUGAAACCGUAUUUGUUAUAUUGCAUUCUUAAAGAUGAUUAAAUAUGUCUUGUUCAUUCACUUUAUUAGUAUCAUGACCAGGAUGAUGCUAUGGUUUAUUUUUAUGAGUACAAAAUAGUGAAAAUAGCUUUAGUUCUUG